GCACGGCGCGCCCCCGACGGCCGCGGCGGCCUCCCGGACGCAGCACCCCUCCGCGAGAGCUGCUUUCGUGCCCGACGUUCUGCCCCUUGGAGGCAAAGCCGUCUCAAUGGGCGACAAGGCUGCAGAGAGCCGAAUGAAUGGUCCGGGCGGCGCAGUGAUCGGAGGGAGCGCUUCGAAGACACUGCGCACGCGCGCCCUGGGUUACCCAGGGUCCCCGCUUCUGGCCGCGAGGAGCCGCCGGACCGCGCAUGCGUGCGGGGAGCCGGCGUCCCGAACGGGCGCAGGUAGCGGUCGCUGUCCGCUGAGAGGCGGACCGCAAAAACCAGUGCGAGGGCACGACAGGUGCUUCCGAAUCGGGGAUCGAAGGCUCUGUAGACUGGGACACACGGAAAGAACCUAGAAGCUCCAGGCAGGGGAAAAGAGCACUGCACCGAGCGAGAGUCGGGGACUGCGGGCUCUGCUGCUGUGAAGCCAUUCCACAGUAUCCUAAGGAAUAAAUUAGGAUGAAGUCAGUCAACGGUCCUUUGGAAAGAUACCAGACUUAAUUUUCCCAAGUUUUGAAGACUGUAGGAACAACUAGGGCCUUUCCCUAGGAAUAUCUAUCCGUGCUGAGGGGCCAGGACCAGGGAGGGGCCUACAUGAAGGCCCAGCAACAAGACAGCCAUUCGCCUGGACAGUGAAGCUUCAUAAGGUUGCCAUCCACUACUCUCCUCGGCUCCUCAAGAUGCUCACCCUGGUGUUCCCAGCUUACGUUUCUUCCCAGAAUAAUAAUACGGGAAUGGGUUUAUCAGAUUUACAAGAACCAGCCUCCUCGUACGAACAUUGCAUUAUUUAGCCCUGUGUUUAAAUUCAUUUUCAAGACUCGACUUCACAAAGCCUUACUGACUUGUUGGCAGAGAUAGUUGCGCCCUCGUUUGUGCUCCUAGAAUAUUUUGCACUUAUUUUAGUGGUUUAUAUAUGAUCCUCCUCCACCAGCCUAUCAGCUUCAGCUAUUCCCAGCAUGUAACACAACACCCAGCCUAUGAUAGGUGCUCAUCAAAUAGUUCUUGACUAACAAUGAAGCAAUCGAUCUCAUUUUUUAAUUAUUUGCUUAAAGUUUGCCUUUUCAACUAAAUGUAAGCUCCAUGAAAGACAAGACCAUAUUGGUUCUCAAUGGGCAUUCAAUAAUUUUUUGAUGAAAGAAUUCAUAAAUAAAUGACUAAAGAAAUUGA
Molecule: long non-coding RNA, 1211 nt
Organism: Pteropus alecto (black flying fox)
Lineage: Eukaryota; Metazoa; Chordata; Mammalia; Chiroptera; Pteropodidae
Exons: 2
Source: RefSeq, a predicted model, not a curated record